RNAcentral lists this ribosomal RNA (432 nucleotides) under Glyptophysa sp. 11 PGA-2018. RNAcentral's name for it is "partial large subunit ribosomal RNA". It matches the Rfam family "Archaeal large subunit ribosomal RNA", at positions 1908 to 2665 of the family's 2987-position model. Lineage: Eukaryota; Metazoa; Mollusca; Gastropoda; Planorbidae. The record is from RNAcentral.
AGUUUAAAGUUAUCUUUUUAAAUGUAUCCUGCCCAGUGUAAUUUUUAUAAAUGGCCGCAGUACCCUGACUGUGCAAAGGUAGCAUAAUCAAUUGGCUUUUAAUUAAAGUCUGGAAUGAAAGGAUUUAUGGAAAAAGACUGUCUUAAAAAAUAUUUUAUUUAAUUUAGUUAUUAGGUGAAAAUACCUAUGUAUAGAAAAAAGACGAGAAGACCCUUAGAAUUUUUAUAAUAUAGAUACUUUUAUUAAUUAUUUUUGUUGGGGCGACAAUUAAGCAAUUAAACCUUAAGUUUUUUAAAACGAAAUUGUUAUAAAAGAUUAAAUUACCUUAGGGAUAACAGCAUUAUUUAUAAAAGUUUGUGACCUCGAUGUUGGACUAGGAACUUUAUGGCCAGCAGUCUAAAAAGAUUUGUUCUGUUCGAACAAUUAAAUCCU